GAUGAACGCUGGCGGCGUGCCUAAUACAUGCAAGUCGAGCGAACAGACGAGGAGCUUGCUCCCCUGCCGUUAGCGGCGGACGGGUGAGUAACAAGUGGAUCACCUACUUAUUUGACUGGGGUAACUUCGGGAAAACGGAGCCAAUACCGGCUAAUAUAUUGAACCGCAUGAUUCAAUAGUGAAAGACGGUUUUGCUGUCAGUUUUAGACGGAUCCGGGCCGCCUUAGCUGGUUGGUAAGGUAACGGCUUACCAAGGCAACGAUGCGUAUCCGACCUGAGAGGGUGAUCAGCCACACUGGAACUGAGACACGGUCCAGACUCCUACGGGAGGCAGCAGUAGGGAAUCUUCCGCAAUGGGCGAAAGCCUGACGGAGCAACGCCGCGUGAGUGAUGAAGGUCUUCGGAUCGUAAAACUCUGUUAUUAGGGAAGAACAAAUGUGUAAGUAACUAUGCACGUCUUGACGGUACCUAAUCAGAAAGCCACGGCUAACUACGUG
RNAcentral lists this ribosomal RNA (497 nucleotides) under uncultured bacterium. RNAcentral describes it as "partial 16S ribosomal RNA". It matches the Rfam family "Bacterial small subunit ribosomal RNA", at positions 28 to 507 of the family's 1533-position model. The record is from RNAcentral.